This 124-nucleotide small RNA is filed under the name Arabidopsis thaliana (thale cress). Its description in RNAcentral is "ATSL304070". Lineage: Eukaryota; Viridiplantae; Streptophyta; Magnoliopsida; Brassicales; Brassicaceae. The record is from RNAcentral.
CCCAUGCUUUUGUCUAGAACUUCUUCUACAUCUUCUUUCGUCUUCAACUUUGAUCUAACCCAAUCCACGAUACUGUUACCUUCUCCAAAUUCCGGUUCCACCGAUCUUUUUCCGGUGAUUAUCU